GUAGGGUGCAAGCGUUGUCCGGAAUUACUGGGCGUAAAGAGUUCGUAGGCGGUUUGUCGCGUCGUUUGUGAAAAACCAGCAGCUCAACUGCUGGCUUGCAGGCGAUACGGGCAGACUUGAGUACUGCAGGGGAGACUGGAAUUCCUGGUGUAGCGGUGAAAUGCGCAGAUAUCAGGAGGAACACCGGUGGCGAAGGCGGGUCUCUGGGCAGUAACUGACGCUGAGGAACGAAAGCGUGGGUAGCGAACAGGAUUAGAUACCCUGGUAGUCCACGCCGUAAACAGUGGGCGCUAGGUGUGGGUUCCUUCCACGGAAUCCGUGCCGUAGCUAACGCAUUAAGCGCCCCGCCUGGGGAGUACGGCCGCAAGGCUA
This 372-nucleotide ribosomal RNA is filed under the name uncultured organism. Its description in RNAcentral is "partial 16S ribosomal RNA". It matches the Rfam family "Bacterial small subunit ribosomal RNA", at positions 527 to 896 of the family's 1533-position model. The record is from RNAcentral.